GUUUCGGCUAGCUGGGGAGCUAGGGGUUCCCUGCAGACGCAAAUCCCCUUUACGGCGCGGCGAAACCGAGGGACGGACUCGUUGACCGAAUCCGGCCCGGGACACUGCCGUAGACUCCUUGCCCUGCGUUACGCGGCGAAGAGCAAAACGAGCCAGGCCGGAAGGAGCAACUCUAAGCCCUUUGGCGCGUGCUCGCAGAAAACAAGGACGAGGCAAGCCUCGGCAAACCGGAAGCGGCCCAGCGUUUUCAACCCGCGGAGCCGGAAC
Molecule: signal recognition particle RNA, 267 nt
Filed under: Microcaldota archaeon
Lineage: Archaea; Nanobdellati; Microcaldota
Description: signal recognition particle sRNA
Rfam family: Bacterial large signal recognition particle RNA
About the family: The signal recognition particle (SRP) is a universally conserved ribonucleoprotein involved in the co-translational targeting of proteins to membranes. Archaeal SRP consists of a 7S RNA and homologues of the eukaryotic SRP19 and SRP54 proteins.
Source: RNAcentral